UGGGGAAUAUUGGACAAUGGGCGAAAGCCUGAUCCAGCCAUGCCGCGUGGGUGAAGAAGGUCUUCGGAUUGUAAAGCACUUUAAGUUGGGAGGAAGGGCAGUAAGCGAAUACCUUGCUGUUUUGACGUUACCGACAGAAUAAGCACCGGCUAACUCUGUGCCAGCAGCCGCGGUAAUACAGAGGGUGCAAGCGUUAAUCGGAAUUACUGGGCGUAAAGCGCGCGUAGGUGGUUCGUUAAGUUGAAUGUGAAAGCCCCGGGCUCAACCUGGGAACUGCAUCCAAAACUGGUGAGCUAGAGUAGGGCAGAGGGUGGUGGAAUGUCCUGUGUAGCGGUGAAAUGCGUAGAUAUAGGAAGGAACACCAGUGGCGAAGACGGCCACCUGGGCUCAUACUGACACUGAGGUGCGAAAGCGUGGGGAGCAAACAGG
This 429-nucleotide ribosomal RNA is filed under the name Pseudomonadota bacterium. Its description in RNAcentral is "Proteobacteria bacterium partial 16S ribosomal RNA". It matches the Rfam family "Bacterial small subunit ribosomal RNA", at positions 355 to 776 of the family's 1533-position model. Lineage: Bacteria; Pseudomonadati; Pseudomonadota. The record is from RNAcentral.